Molecule: long non-coding RNA, 2039 nt
Organism: Cyclopterus lumpus (lumpfish)
Lineage: Eukaryota; Metazoa; Chordata; Actinopteri; Perciformes; Cyclopteridae
Exons: 4
Source: RefSeq, a predicted model, not a curated record
UGCUCUGGGGAAAUCUCCAACAUGGCGGCGCUGAGACGGGGGCUUGUGAGUCCAGGCGACGUAGCUAAAGUCUGAAAGAUGAACAUUUCGAAAUACUACUUACGGAUCUUUUUAGAAGGAUUGGAGGGAAAGUGGCCAACUCCAGCUGCAGCUCUAUUCUCCUGUACUCCGACUGUGAAGGAGAGAACAGAAAGGUGUCUGCCUGAUGAUGACCACCGACCGGAAGAGAGAGGAGCAGCUGUAGAUUCAGCAGACUUCGGUGGCAUAAACGACGAUGAGAUGCUGGCAGCCGUGCUGGAGAUGAGUCGUCAAGAGGCCGGGCUCUCGGCUCCACCCCUCCUGGAGGAUGAGCCGACCAGCAGCCCAGGGCUUUGGACACUCAGAUGCCCGUGACCUGGCCUAUCAUACAGAUCUGCUGGAAACGGACAGCAAACAGCCUUCAGAUGUGCUGGAUUCCCUGGACUUCACCAUGGACGAGAACAAGGAGAACCAGACUCCAGAGAGCGUGCAGCAGCAAUGUGAACUGGCCUGGGUACAGCAGUCUGGACCACGAGAGAGAAAAACAGGAGCUACAACAGGCUCCAGGAGCAUGUAAGAUCACAUGACAUCUGGAGGGCUGUCCUUUAAGACUGGAGCAACAGUGCUGCGUCUAAAUACUGUCGUAGCGCCAUGAUUCCAUGAACUAACCUGUAUCUAAUAUGCAAACGAGAAAUACGAGUUGAAUGUCCAAGUUAUUAGUAGUAGUUCCAUUGUUAACUGCAAAGUCCAUAAAAUAACUAAUCAUUCGUGGUCAACUCUGGUGACCCCCUCCCCCCCAGAUCACAUGACAUCUGCGCAGGGCUUUUUAAGAUGGGAGCAAUGGGGCUGCGUGUAAAGCUGUUUUUGUUUACUUAAAAGUACACACUUCAGUAUAAGCAUAUGCGCUGUAAUUACUCAGAACUCAUCAUUCGUGGCACUGCUAUUAUAUAGUUAUACAACACCAGUCCUUCUGAAACUGUGAAGUGAUGUCUGGAAGUGUAGUAGUCCUUUACCUUGUCAGCACCUUAACAGCACACUUGGGCCAUCCCGACAUCACGUAGUGUUGAACCGUGUGCAGUUCUGCGUCCUGUAAAGGUCUGCUGUUGGACCAUGUGGGAGCUUAGUGGGUGAAAUGGGCCACAACCAGUGGAUUGCUUUCUCAUAGGCUUCUAUUUCAAGAAAUCCUUUAAAAAUAGUAAUUUAAUAAAUAUUCAAUAUAAUAUAAGUGUAAGUUCAUAAAUGGAAUUGUAUAUAUUCUAUAUUAAAUCAGACACUCAUGGUACAGCACUGUGUAUUGAUGAGAGGAUGAAAACAGAGGUAUAGACGGGCCUACAACGACAAGAAUAACCUCAGAACUCUACCAGACCUUCAGCCUGGAACCAGCGUUGCUGUGAAGCUGGAUGAUGAGAGAGGCUGGACAAAGUCUGCUUCGGUCCUGAAGCAAGGUGACACACUAAGGUCAUACCUAGUCCAGACGGAUAAAGGAGUACUGUGCAGAAACCAUCGCCAUCUGAGACCUCUCCACAGGCCUUCAGAGACUUUCCAGGAGGGAAGGGACGGAUGUAUAGUGAACGAUGGAGAAUUGAAGUCACCUGGUUCUGAUGCAGACACACCUCCAGUUACAUCUCAAGAUACUAUGACACAGACUUCAACACGCACAACCUCCAGCGGCAGAGAAACCACCAGACCGAUACGGAGAGUAUGUUCAGUAGUCAGGGCGUAGCCUGCAUCAAGUGGCAGAAUAAUCCACUGCAGCUAUUUUGGGGACUGGUAGUCCACCCAGAUCCCAAUAGUUCAGAUGUAUGUUAAAUAACUGUUUAAUUAAUAAUAAUAAAAUAAAACUGUUAAGUGCCAGUACCACCACAAGUUUAAAUCCUGAAGAGAUUUUGAAAUUAAAUGUAUGUUAUUAAAUUGUUACUAAGAACAGUUAGUCAUGCAGAAGAUGUUGAUAGACGAUAUUAUGCCUUUUGCAGCAUGUCUUAAAUUACUUUUUUUUUUUUUGUGAUGUCAUUGUCAAACUA